Molecule: long non-coding RNA, 1353 nt
Organism: Cynoglossus semilaevis (tongue sole)
Lineage: Eukaryota; Metazoa; Chordata; Actinopteri; Pleuronectiformes; Cynoglossidae
Exons: 4
Source: RefSeq, a predicted model, not a curated record
UUCUCUCUUGCUGACCAGCCUUCUGGCCUGUCGGUCCAUCACUGAGGUUCUGGUUCUGGUUUUCUUCCAGCUGUAGUAAUACUUAACCAAGCUGGAGAUCAGCUUGUCUGGCAGCUAAGCAGAAAUACAUACAAUUGACAGUCUCUUGCCAUGAAAACUGAAGGCCUGUUCGAACAGCACCUUAUCCUCCACUGUCCACUCGUCUGGGAAGGGGGUGAAGUUGGCGAGGUCGGCCAGGGAGCGCUCCACAUCGUGCUUGUGCCACAACAACAUGCCUAGAGCCUAAUGGAAUGGUGGGGGCAAUGUAACAAGUCAGGAGAGUGACCGAAAGACUGAAAGAGUCUCUGGUCAGGCUCAAUCUUCAAUCUGCAGGGACGAGUCAGAGAUGAGACUUGAUGAAAUCAGAGAAAAGCUGAUCAGAGAGAGUGUGGUUGGCUGUUGCCGUUAGUUACUGUCUUGGCUCUGCUCCUGGACAGGACCCCGGCCCCCGAGCGCUCCAUCACUGAGGGCAUGUCUACAAACAGGAAAAGUACACCUGCAGUAUACAUUUUCAUUGCUUCUCCUUCCAUUCAGCAGCAGACAGCACUACUGUACUUAAUCACUCACAAAAAUAACAGUUCUUGGGGUUUUUUUUCAAAUAGUUUAGUUUGCUUAGACUUUGUAGCUCCACAGAUAUCAUUUUACAGUUGACAUGCAAACAUAUUUUUCACCAGCAUUAAUAAGCAGUUCCUGUCUUGCAGUUAAGGUUCAAUGGACCUGAAGAGCCAUCGGGGUAGGGAAUUACCUUUUUAACAGUGUUCUCAACCAUGUUAAAGGUGCAAUUAAAGUUAUAUGGCUAACUGUGCCAGUUUUGCACCAAUAAUUAUUAUGUGGUUUUCUAAGUUAACUUUAUUUUUAUGAACUAUAUUAUAAAUGCAUGUGUGUUCAAUGUUUGUCAACUGUUUUCCCCUUAGUCAUAACUAUAAAAAAAUGAGUUUAGUAUAUUGUUUUUGUGUCUUAUAAGAAACUCAUGUUGCAACUUAAGACAUUUUGAGCAUAUUAAGAGGUAAAGAGCAUGGGCUAACACUUUGCCUUAAUGAGCUAGCCUUGAAACAGCUAGCUUCAUUUCACUGCAAUCAGAAAGGUUGGGGAAAAAACAUAGCUGCCCUUGUCAUAUUUUCCAGUUUUAUACAUGCACCCAUCGUAAACCAACAAACAGACAAGACUCCUGGCUUAUAGUCCUGCACAAAAAGUGUUGAUUAACCAGUAGCAUUUUUCAACAUCACAUUUACACCACUUCCUGUGUCUUAUGUUGGGAACUGGAGCAGUGGUGCAAAAGCAAUGCUCAAUAAAGAAUAGCCAUAUCCCAAACUA